RNAcentral lists this ribosomal RNA (301 nucleotides) under uncultured bacterium. RNAcentral's name for it is "partial 16S ribosomal RNA". It matches the Rfam family "Bacterial small subunit ribosomal RNA", at positions 509 to 807 of the family's 1533-position model. The record is from RNAcentral.
CAGUCGCCGCGGGAAAACGGAGGGUGCAAGCGUUAAUCGGAAUUACUGGGCGUAAAGCGUGCGUAGGCGGUUUGUUAAGUCUGUUGUGAAAUCCCCGGGCUCAACCUGGGAAUGGCAAUGGAUACUGGCAAGCUAGAGUGUGUCAGAGGAUGGUGGAAUUCCCGGUGUAGCGGUGAAAUGCGUAGAGAUCGGGAGGAACAUCAGUGGCGAAGGCGGCCAUCUGGGACAACACUGACGCUGAGGCACGAAAGCGUGGGGAGCAAACAGGAUUAGAUACCCGCGUAGUCCCUGUCUCUUAUAC